Molecule: ribosomal RNA, 259 nt
Filed under: Blastocystis hominis
Lineage: Eukaryota; Bigyra; Opalinata; Blastocystidae
Description: partial small subunit ribosomal RNA
Rfam family: Eukaryotic small subunit ribosomal RNA
Source: RNAcentral
GCGGAACUAUUAGUUUUGCCAUUGGAUUGACCACGAUGUACAAAUGUUAUCGAUAAACAAUUGGAGGGCAAGUCUGGUGCCAGCAGCCGCGGUAAUUCCAGCUCCAAUAGCGUAUAUUAACGUUGUUGCAGUUAAAAAGCUCGUAGUUGAAUUGAAGUGAACUUGGGUUGAUGUGCUCUUCCGAUGACCUGAGUCCAAGUUGACUCUUUCCAAGGUCAGGACAAUGGCGUUCAUUUAUCUUUGUAUUGUGUUUGGUCAU